RNAcentral lists this transfer RNA (91 nucleotides) under Rhizobacter sp. Its description in RNAcentral is "tRNA-Leu". It matches the Rfam family "tRNA". Rfam says of the family: Transfer RNA (tRNA) molecules are approximately 80 nucleotides in length. Their secondary structure includes four short double-helical elements and three loops (D, anti-codon, and T loops). Lineage: Bacteria; Pseudomonadati; Pseudomonadota; Betaproteobacteria; Burkholderiales; Sphaerotilaceae. The record is from RNAcentral.
GCGCGGGUGGUGGAAUUGGUAGACACAUCGGGCUUAAAACCCGCCGCUUUCCGAAAGGGGCAUACGGGUUCGAUUCCCGUCCUGCGCACCA